ACAUCCAGCGAACUUGGCAGNGAUGCCUUGGUGCCUUCGGGAACGCUGAGACAGGUGCUGCAUGGCUGUCGUCAGCUCGUGUUGUGAAAUGUUGGGUUAAGUCCCGNAACGAGCGCAACCCUUUAUCCUUUGUUGCCAGCGAUUCGGUCGGGAACUCAAAGGAGACUGCCGGUGAUAAACCGGAGGAAGGUGGGGAUGACGUCAAGUCAUCAUGGCCCUUACGAGUAGGGCUACACACGUGCUACAAUGGCGCAUACAAAGAGAAGCGACCUCGCGAGAGCAAGCGGAACCUCAUAAAGUGCGUCGUAGUCCGGAUCGGAGUCUGCAACUCGACUCCGUGAAGUCGGAAUCGCUAGUAAUCGUGGAUCAGAAUGCCACGGUGAAUACGUUCCCGGGCCUUGUACACACCGCCCGUCACACCAUGGGAGUGGGUUGCAAAAGAAGUAGGUAGCUUAACCUUCGGGAGGGCGCUUACCACUUUGUGAUUCAUGACUGGGGUGAAGUCGUAACAAGGUAAGCGUAGCGAG
RNAcentral lists this ribosomal RNA (527 nucleotides) under uncultured bacterium. RNAcentral describes it as "bacterial SSU rRNA". It matches the Rfam family "Bacterial small subunit ribosomal RNA", at positions 984 to 1509 of the family's 1533-position model. The record is from RNAcentral.